AGUGGGGAAUAUUGCACAAUGGAGGGAACUCUGAUGCAGCAACGCCGCGUGGAGGAUGACACAUUUCGGUGCGUAAACUCCUUUUAUAUAAGAAGAUAAUGACGGUAUUAUAUGAAUAAGCACCGGCUAACUCCGUGCCAGCAGCCGCGGUAAUACGGGGGGUGCAAGCGUUACUCGGAAUCACUGGGCGUAAAGAGAAUGUAGGCUGGCUAUUAAGUUGGAAGUGAAAUCCUAUGGCUUAACCAUAGAACUGCUUCCAAAACUGAUUGCCUAGAAUAUGGGAGAGGUAGAUGGAAUUUCUGGUGUAGGGGUAAAAUCCGUAGAGAUCAGAAGGAAUACCGAUUGCGAAGGCGAUCUACUGGAACAUUAUUGACGCUGAGAUUCGAAAGCGUGGGGAGCAAACAGGAUUAGAUACCCUGGUAGUCCACGCCCUAAACGAUGUACACUAGUUGUUGCUAUGCUAGACAUAGCAGUAAUGCAGUUAACACAGUAAGUGUACCGCCUGGGGAGUACGGUCGCAAGAUUAAAACUCAAAGGAAUAGACGGGGACCCGCACAAGCGGUGGAGCAUGUGGUUUAAUUCGACGAUACGCGAAGAACCUUACCUGGCCUUGACAUAAUAAGAAUCUUUUAGAGAUAGAGGAGUGCUAGUUUACUAGAGCUUAUAUACAGGUGCUGCACGGCUGUCGUCAGCUCGUGUCGUGAGAUGUUGGGUUAAGUCCCGCAACGAGCGCAACCCUCGUGUUUAGUUAAUAACGGUUCGGCCGAUGACUCUAAACAGACUGCCUGGGUAACCAGGAGGAAGGUGAGGACGACGUCAAGUCAUCAUGGCCCUUACGGCCAGGGCUACACACGUGCUACAAUGGGGUAUACAAAGAGCCGCGAUACCGUGAGGUGGAGCAAAUCUCAUAAAAUACCUCCCAGUUCGGAUUGAAGUCUGCAACUCGACUUCAUGAAGUUGGAAUCGCUAGUAAUCGUGAAUCAGCAAUGUCACGGUGAAUACGU
Molecule: ribosomal RNA, 1004 nt
Filed under: uncultured bacterium
Lineage: Bacteria
Description: bacterial SSU rRNA
Rfam family: Bacterial small subunit ribosomal RNA
Source: RNAcentral